AUUGAACGCUGGCGGCAGGCCUAACACAUGCAAGUCGAGCGGAUGAAGGGAGCUUGCUCCUGGAUUCAGCGGCGGACGGGUGAGUAAUGCCUAGGAAUCUGCCUGGUAGUGGGGGAUAACGUCCGGAAACGGGCGCUAAUACCGCAUACGUCCUGAGGGAGAAAGUGGGGGAUCUUCGGACCUCACGCUAUCAGAUGAGCCUAGGUCGGAUUAGCUGGUUGGUGGGGUAAAGGCCUACCAAGGCGACGAUCCGUAACUGGUCUGAGAGGAUGAUCAGUCACACUGGAACUGAGACACGGUCCAGACUCCUACGGGAGGCAGCAGUGGGGAAUAUUGGACAAUGGGCGAAAGCCUGAUCCAGCCAUGCCGCGUGUGUGAAGAAGGUCUUCGGAUUGUAAAGCACUUUAGGUUGGGAGGAAGGGCAGUAAGUUAAUACCUUGCUGUUUUGACGUUACCAACAGAAUAAGCACCGGCUAACUUCGUG
RNAcentral lists this ribosomal RNA (484 nucleotides) under uncultured bacterium. Its description in RNAcentral is "partial 16S ribosomal RNA". It matches the Rfam family "Bacterial small subunit ribosomal RNA", at positions 30 to 507 of the family's 1533-position model. The record is from RNAcentral.